RNAcentral lists this long non-coding RNA (224 nucleotides) under Panax ginseng (ginseng). RNAcentral's name for it is "long non-coding RNA (PGIN_LNC007953)". The record is from RNAcentral. Lineage: Eukaryota; Viridiplantae; Streptophyta; Magnoliopsida; Apiales; Araliaceae.
UUGAAUGGGUUAAAAUUAAAAAACUUAUUUCAAACUCAUUAAAAACAUCAUCAUCAUCACUUUCUCUCUCCUCUCCAUGACUCCAUUAUCUCUUAAAAAUUUCCCACCGGAAGUCCUGGAGCAGUCAGCAAUAGCUAUCCGGCCGUCCGACCGCCCCGCGCCUCCAUCGCCGCCCCCUAAUUCUGCCUCUGCCUGCUACCGGGGGCAGAUGCCCCCACCCGCCC